Molecule: ribosomal RNA, 450 nt
Filed under: uncultured prokaryote
Description: bacterial SSU rRNA
Rfam family: Bacterial small subunit ribosomal RNA
Source: RNAcentral
UAGGGAAUAUUGCGCAAUGGUCGAGAGACUGACGCAGCGACGCCGCGUGUGGGAGGAAGCCUUUCGGGGUGUAAACCACUGUCAGACGGGAAGAAGACCGUGUGUCCAAACAGGGCAUGCGCAUGACGGUACCGUCAGAGGAAGCGCCGGCUAACUCCGUGCCAGCAGCCGCGGUAAGACGGAGGGCGCAAGCGUUGUUCGGAAUUACUGGGCGUAAAGCGCGGGCAGGUGGUCCGUUAAGUCUUCUGUGAAACCCCGGGGCUCAACUCCGGACAUGCAGGAGAUACUGGCGGACUAGAGAUCGGUAGAGGCUAGUGGAAUUCCUGGUGUAGCGGUGGAAUGUGUAGAUAUCAGGAAGAACACCGGUGGCGAAGGCGGCUAGCUGGGCCGAGUCUGACACUCAUCCGCGAAAGCGUGGGGAGCAAACAGGAUUAGAUACCCCCGUAGUCC